This 308-nucleotide ribosomal RNA is filed under the name uncultured bacterium. RNAcentral describes it as "bacterial SSU rRNA". It matches the Rfam family "Bacterial small subunit ribosomal RNA", at positions 28 to 334 of the family's 1533-position model. The record is from RNAcentral.
GACGAACGCUGGCGGCGUGCUUAACACAUGCAAGUCGAACGGAAAGGCCCUGCUUUUGUGGGGUGCUCGAGUGGCGAACGGGUGAGUAACACGUGAGUAACCUGCCCUUGACUUUGGGAUAACUUCAGGAAACUGGGGCUAAUACCGGAUAGGAGCUCCUGCUGCAUGGUGGGGGUUGGAAAGUUUCGGCGGUUGGGGAUGGACUCGCGGCUUAUCAGCUUGUUGGUGGGGUAGUGGCCUACCAAGGCGACGAUGCGUAGCCGACCUGGGAGGGUGAUCGGCCACAUUGGGACUGAGACACGGCCCAG